CGGAUAGUAUAGUUUCGUGCACAAAUUGAUACCAGCGGCUUCAACUUCACAAUACAGAUAAAGCGUGAAUGUUUUGCUUGCGCGCUACACUUGCUUCUUUCAGUGGUGCUUUCCGAUCACACUUCAGUUUCAGAAUGUGCUAAAAAUCAGGCGUUGCGUGUUCAGAGCCCCAAAAUCAAAGGCGAAUGACAUAGAAGACAGUCGAAAUCCUUUAGAAAAGGUACAAACAAGUGUGUUUGGAUAGGUUCGGUUUCAGGCUGUCCUUGCAGUAGGCGCCGACGCGUGCAAUCAGGGGAUCAGAGCCGAGCGACGUGUCGAAUUAUCUAUAGGUCAUAGAUUCAAAAAGUCGCUGCUAUGGAGCAUGUGCAUUUCCGCAGUAUUCACCUAGGCGAAAAUCAGCAUGUGCCCGAACAGCAAUCGGCUGUGUACCUCAUCGAAACUUCGGCAAUUGCAGAGAGAUAUCCGCGGAAGAAUCCGUGGCCUGUAGAUACCUGCUUUAGGUAGAAGUAAAUCCGCCCGUUCCUCCAGAUUCUCCGUAGCACGAUUUUGAGCAAUACACGCACGUCAAGCACAUCACGGAAAAAGCCACCAGGGUAGCAUCCACGAUUAUUUGCAUCUAGGUAUCGGAUAUUGCGCUAAUGUGAAAAGAAUAUGCUUCUGUGUUGAUGAAGCAGCAAGUGCUUUUUUGUAUUCGAGAUAAUUAGAAGAAAUUACAAGCAACGUAUUACCGUUGCAAACUAUACAGAUCAUUUGCCGUACAUAAGACCAGCACCCCUUAGAUGCGUGUUUCGACAAGGAAGAAGAAGAUCUUAGCUUCCUCAACUAAAUUUCUAGUGAUACGGAUCAUCAUCAUAGAAGAUUUAUUAUUUCAUCCCACGUUGUAAACAUUGAGAACUACCAGCGAAGAAAAUGGUAAAUAAAAAGAAAAAUAAACUGAAAUUAUUUUC
Molecule: long non-coding RNA, 947 nt
Organism: Anopheles coustani
Lineage: Eukaryota; Metazoa; Arthropoda; Insecta; Diptera; Culicidae
Exons: 5
Source: RefSeq, a predicted model, not a curated record